UCCACAGUAGUCUGAAAUGCAAGUGCUUC
This 29-nucleotide non-coding RNA is filed under the name Rattus norvegicus (Norway rat). Lineage: Eukaryota; Metazoa; Chordata; Mammalia; Rodentia; Muridae. The record is from RNAcentral.